Apis laboriosa (Himalayan honeybee) is the source of this 4489-nucleotide RNA transcript. It is a transcript of the gene named serine/threonine-protein kinase minibrain, with no coding region annotated. The record is from RefSeq and is a predicted model, not a curated record. The transcript has 9 exons. NCBI's taxonomy places the organism in Eukaryota, Metazoa, Arthropoda, Insecta, Hymenoptera, Apidae.
AAGGGUGCCGCUGGUAUGGAGUAUGGAAGCGGCGGGGGUGGAGGCGGUGGGGGCCGUGGGGGUGUCCAACCACCCUCUGCAGGUGCGAGGGGUAUGGCGGGAACAGACACUACUGAUGCUGCAUGGCACAAACACGAACAAAUGAUCCUUAUGGAAUCCAGGCAUAAGCAACAACUAAGCGGAAGAACGGGUGCAGGUGGAGGUGGUGGUGGAGGCGGUGGUGCGCCUCUUUACGGUCGUCUAGUAGCUGAGGAGCCAUUACCUCCCACAGUAUGUGGGGGUACCGGUACUGGUGGCGGUACCGGUGGGGUCCCACAAGAAACCCCCGCGGAUAUACACGCCAUGCAAGCCAGGAUACCCCAUAGGUUUCGUGAUCCAGCCACAGCACCUCUUAGGAAACUUAGUGUAGAUCUCAUCAAAACUUACAAGCACAUCAACGAGGUUUAUUAUGCUAAGAAAAAAAGGAGGGCGCAACAGAUGCAAGGAGAAGAUGGUUCCCAUAAAAAAGAAAGAAAAUUGUACAACGAUGGUUGGGAUGACGAUAAUCAUGAUUAUAUUAUCAAAAAUGGGGAAAAGUUCCUCGAUCGUUAUGAGAUCGAUUCGCUAAUAGGUAAAGGUAGUUUUGGCCAAGUAGUAAAAGCGUUUGAUCAUGAAGAACAAACGCAAGUGGCAAUAAAAAUUAUCAAGAACAAAAAACCUUUUCUAAAUCAAGCGCAAAUCGAAGUGAGGCUAUUAGAAAUGAUGAACAGGGCGGAUACCGACAACAAAUAUUAUAUAGUUAAACUAAAAAGGCAUUUUAUGUGGCGAAAUCAUUUAUGUCUGGUAUUCGAACUGUUAUCAUAUAAUCUGUAUGAUCUACUUAGAAAUACAAAUUUUCGAGGAGUGUCAUUGAAUUUAACAAGGAAGUUUGCACAGCAACUGUGUACUGCCCUUUUGUUCCUGUCUACACCGGAAUUGAACAUCAUUCACUGUGAUCUGAAACCUGAAAACAUACUUUUGUGCAAUCCCAAACGAAGUGCGAUAAAAAUAGUAGAUUUUGGUAGUUCGUGUCAACUUGGACAAAGAAUAUAUCAGUAUAUUCAAUCCAGGUUUUAUCGAUCUCCUGAAGUCUUAUUAGGAAUACCUUAUGAUCUUGCGAUAGACAUGUGGAGUCUAGGAUGUAUUUUAGUUGAAAUGCAUACAGGAGAACCUUUAUUCAGUGGGGCCAACGAGGUCGAUCAAAUGAAUAAAAUCGUAGAAGUAUUAGGAAUGCCACCGAAACAUAUAUUGGACCAAGCGCACAAGGCGCGGAAAUACUUUGACAAAGUCCCCACGGAUGGCUCGUAUGUGCUGAAAAAGUCAAAGGAUGGUAAAAAGUACAAACCUCCUGGUACGAGACGCUUACAUGAUAUCUUAGGUGUCGAAAACGGAGGCCCUGGUGGUAGAAGGAUAGGUGAACCUGGUCAUUCAAUUUCUGAUUACCUCAAAUUUAAAGACUUGAUUCUGCGAAUGCUGGAUUUUGAUCCGAAAACAAGAGUGACGCCAUAUUAUGCACUUCAGCACAAUUUCUUUAAGCGAACAGCCGAUGAGGGGACCAACACGAAUAUUGCUGCUGCCAAUAGUGCUAACACGAGCCCAGCAGUAGUAUCGAUGAGCCAAGAUCAUGGACUGGUAACCAUGUCAGGACAGGGAAGUAACAACAGUGGCAAUCCGAUGCAAAUAUCAAGUCUCCCUGGUGGCUAUCAGCCUAUGGAGUGCGAUUCAUCGCCUCGUCAUUUAGGGAAUCGACGUGUCAUAACAACAAAUUAUUCGUCAACUUCAGCCACUGGGGUGUCUGCAUCCGGGCCGAUGUCCAUGCAAUCUGUAGACAGUUCCCUGAUACAAAGCUCUCUUGGAUCGUAUAAUAGCCUAAUUCUCCCUGGUAUAUCCCAUCUGCCUGCGAUGAUGACCUCACCAAUGAUUCAGCAGCAGAACUUUUACAAUUAUAGUUAUUCAACGACUGAUACGCACGGAAUAGUCAGACAACCGUCGACAGUCUCAACCGGUAAACAAAGAGAUCCGGAAAGAGAAGACAGUCCUAUGGUUGGAGUAUGCGUCCAGCAGAGUCCAGUUGCUAUUCACUGAAACGAAAAGAAAUAAAAAGAACUGCGACGACGGUCGAUACGUAUUGUCGUCACGAUAGCGGUACCGUCAAAAAUAUAUAUUAGAAGCCGACUGGUCUUACAUUGGGCACGGAUAUACUACGUCCGGCACAGAAGCUUAUGAUAUUUUGCUUAUGAGCACGGACAGACAAACAUGGUCUAGUGAGGAUGAACCCAGCUGGCCUCUCGGGUCCUGCCCGAUUCUGCAAACACUCCAAAUGCUUUAGUCGCGUGCAAACGUCGUUAACAAAUUUUGGCACCCAAAUUGUGUGGCCUAGAGAGCGAAAAAGUGAUAAUUACUAUUAUUAAAAAUGCAUUAACAAAAGAAAAAAUAAGAAUUACCAGUGUAAGCAUAUACUCCAAUAGAGUUUUAUACACAAUGUCACGAAUGUAAACAGUUUAGCAAGUAAUUGCUAGCAAACAGUCGCGUCAAAUGCUAGUUAUUUGUACAAUAUAUAUAGAUAAAUGAUAAGAGUGCAGCUUUAGAAUUUAGCUUUUAAGUGUGAAAGAGGAGGACACUGACAUUGUAAACUCGACUCUUUUAUUUACUUUGAUGAAUAGAAAAGAGGACGUUGCAAACGUCAGUUUGUUACUGAUAAAGAACUUUAAACAAACGAGGUUUGCAUGAUUUAACAACAAUACAUAUUUAUACAGAAGACAGUAAUAAGAAAGUUAAAAGGCAGUAUACACGUAAGAUUGAUCAAGAUUGAUAUAAUCAUACAAAAACCUAGAUACUUUAUAAUAAAUGAUACGCGCGUACUCAUACAUAUGUUUCUAAUGGCAGUCGUAAUUGAUUUUUGCCGUUUCACUUUGGUAAUUAUAAUGUUAUUUAUAUUAUAUUAAUAUAUCUUCGGCAUAAGUUUAUAACCGUUUUCUGGCAUUUUUUUUUUUCAAGUUUCGAUAAUUAUAUAUCGAUCAAUAAUUCUUCUAAUAAAUUUUUCGCAUCUUUUUUAUAUUUGAUUCUAGAGUAUAAAACUUAAAUACAUAAAUUUCUCAAUGCCAGAAUGCGAAAUAUUAAUAAACAUAAAUAAAUUGUGUCAAUAAUGGUAAGAUAAUAUGAAUGAAACACGAUGAAUAAUGUACAUUUUCGAUACUUAUUAAUAACAUAUAUUGCAACAAAUAAUUCUUGAGAUAAUUUGCAUGUUUCUAUUCUUUGUUGUGCGUAUACAUAAAACAGAUUAAUUUUUAAAAUUAUUUUAUGAUAUUUUAUUGACCGUUUUGUAUUAUUUUAUAUAAAUGAAAUAUAAAUUCAAUGAUAAAUAUAAAUAUUUUAUUGUAUGCAAUAUGAUGUCAGCUUUUUAUUGGAUUAUUCGAAGCAUACGAUGACAUAAUUUUAGCAUUGAUUAAUCAAAUUUUUAAUAUUCUGUUUUUAAUAACGCUUAUUGUGGGGAAAAGGGGAAUUUUUUCAUUUGUAAUAUUAUAAUUUACAUGACUUCAACAAUUAAAAUGUGAAAACAUUAAGAAUAUUUUUACGCAUUGUUUUCUAGAGAAAAAGUUUUGCUAUGUACCUCAAAAAAAAUUUCAAAUUUGUAUUAAUUUAUCUUUAUUUUUCAUUAUACGAAUUAUGAAUGAGAAUAGAAUGUUUGACGAGAAUUGCUUUAGAUAAGCUGUUUAGAAUUCUGCAUUUUUUAAAUAUUUGCAAUGUGAAGAUUUACUAAUAGAUGUAAUGACUCGCAAAACAACAUUCGUUCGAAUUCAUAGAUUUCUAAACUUUCGAGUAAUGAAAAACUUAUAUAUUAGUAUUUUUACUUCGCCCUAAUAUAUGACGAUCAUUGCUUAUGUUAUGUUAAUUUUAAAAAAUAUAACGAAGUUUUGUUUUAAGUAGAAUAAAUGAGAAAUGACAAACGCAAUUGUGUAAAUUCGAUCUAAAAUUAUAAUUACUAACAACCAUGAAAUUAUUCAAAUUUUUAUUAAUGAAAAACAUUUGCCGUAAUGAUAUUUCUCAUAACUUUAUAAAAUAACUAUAUAACUUUAUAAAAAGAGUGUGAGAAAGAGAGAAUGAAAAAAGAAAAUAAAAGAGUAUGAGAGAGAGGGAAUGAAAGAUAAAAAAAAAAAGAGAGAAUAAUUUUUCAAACAGAAAACAUUGUUUGUUAGAUUUGAUCAUGAUUUUUUAUGACAAAUUCUGACAUUUGGAUGAUUUUGUUGAACGGCAAAAAUCAGUACGCUCUAUAAAUAUAGACAAAAUGUGUGAUAAACUCACGCAUGCCCUCUUCCGAAUUUUCGAUAUUACGUAUUGUGUUCAUUAGUCCUGCUUCUUUAUUUUUUUUUAUUUAUAUAUUUUAAUAUAGAAAAAAUUCAUUUUUAAUAAAAUCAUAGCAUGAAAAAUUGUAUUAUAAAACACAUUAUUUUUUUAAUUUUUUUUUUUUCUU